This 334-nucleotide unclassified non-coding RNA is filed under the name soil metagenome. Its description in RNAcentral is "partial contains 5.8S ribosomal RNA, internal transcribed spacer 2, and large subunit ribosomal RNA". The stretch from base 1 to 120 matches the Rfam family "5.8S ribosomal RNA", at positions 35 to 154 of the family's 154-position model. The record is from RNAcentral.
GAUGAAGAACGCAGCGAAAUGCGAUAAGUAGUGUGAAUUGCAGAAUUCAGUGAAUCAUCGAAUCUUUGAACGCACAUUGCGCCCCCCAGUAUUCUGGCGGGCAUGCCUGUUCGAGCGUCAUUUCAACCAUCAAGCCCUGCUUGUGUUGGGGUCCUGCGGCUGCCCGCAGGCCCUGAAAACCAGUGGCGGGCUCGCUAGUCACACCGAGCGCAGUAGCACAUCUCGCUCAGGGCGUGCGGCGGGCUCCAGCCGUUAAAGCACCCACCUUUCGCAAGGUUGACCUCGGAUCAGGUAGGAAUACCCGCUGAACUUAAGCAUAUCAAUAAGCGGAGGA